Molecule: ribosomal RNA, 468 nt
Filed under: uncultured bacterium
Lineage: Bacteria
Description: partial 16S ribosomal RNA
Rfam family: Bacterial small subunit ribosomal RNA
Source: RNAcentral
GACGAACGCUGGCGGCGUGCUUAACACAUGCAAGUCGAACGGUAAGGCCCCACCUUUCUGGGGUGGUUGAGUGGCGAACGGGUGAGUAACACGUGAGUAACCUGCCCCUGACUCUGGGAUAACCUCUGGAAACUGCGUCUAAUACUGGAUACGAGCUCCUUCUGCAUGGUCGCUUUCUGGAAGUUUCGUCGGUUGGGGAUGGACUCGCGGCCUAUCAGCUUGUUGGUGGGGUAGUGGCUUACCAAGGCUAUGACGGGUAGCCGGCCUGAGAGGGUGACCGGCCACACUGGGACUGAGAUACGGCCCAGACUCCUACGGGAGGCAGCAGUGGGGAAUAUUGCACAAUGGGCGGAAGCCUGAUGCAGCAACGCCGCGUGAGGGAUGACGGCCUUCGGGUUGUAAACCGCUUUCACCAGUGAAGAAGCGAAAGUGACGGUAAUUGGUAAAGAAGCACCGGCUAACUACGUG